UACGGAAGGCAGCAGUGGGGAAUAUUGCACAAUGGGCGAAAGCCUGAUGCAGCUAUGCCGCGUGUAUGAAGAAGGCCUUAGGGUUGUAAAGUACUUUCAUCGGGGAGGAAAAAACAAAACUAAUAAUUUUAUUUCUUGACGUUACCCGAAAAAGAAGCACCGGCUAACUCCGUGCCAGCAGCCGCGGUAAUACGGAGGGUGCUAGCGUUAAUCAGAAUUACUGGGCGUAAAGAGCACGUAAGUGGUUUUUUUAAGUCAGAUGUGAAAUCCCUGGGCUUAACCUAGGAACUGCAUUUUGAAACUGAAAUACUAGAGUAUCGUAGAGGGAGGUAGAAUUCUAGGUGUAGCGGUGAAAUGCGUAGAUAUCUGGAGGAAUACCUGUGGCGAAAGCGGCCUCCUAAACGAAUACUGACACUGAGGUGCGAAAGCGUGGGGAGCAAACAGGGAUUAGAUACCCGU
Molecule: ribosomal RNA, 459 nt
Filed under: uncultured bacterium
Lineage: Bacteria
Description: bacterial SSU rRNA
Rfam family: Bacterial small subunit ribosomal RNA
Source: RNAcentral